Molecule: RNA transcript, 461 nt
Organism: Mandrillus leucophaeus (drill)
Lineage: Eukaryota; Metazoa; Chordata; Mammalia; Primates; Cercopithecidae
Gene name: ubiquinol-cytochrome-c reductase complex assembly factor 2 pseudogene
Exons: 1
Source: RefSeq, a predicted model, not a curated record
AUGGUGGCCAGCUGGUACCGGCCUUUUCUUAAGCUCUGUGAGGAAUGGCCAGUGGACGAGACCAAACGGGGCCGGGACUUGGGCGCUUACCUGUGACAGCGGGUAGCACAGGCCUUUCGGGAGGGAGAGAAUACCCAGGUUGCAGAGCCUGAGGCCUGUGAUCAGAUGUACCAGAGCUUAGCGCGACUCCAUACAAACUACUACAAACACAAGUACCCUCGCCCCAGAGACACCAGCUUCAGUGGCCUGUCAUUGGAAGAGUACAAGGUGAUCCUGUCCACAGACACCUUGGAAGAGCUUAAGGAAAUGGAUAAAAGCAUGUGGAAGAAACUGCAGGAGAAGUUUUCCUCCAAGGGUCCAGAGGAGGAUCAUAAGGCCUGAGCUCAGGCCUUACCUCGCCCACAUACCUAGGUGUGGAGUCUUGUACAUUGCCAUUGUCAAUAAAACUGCCCCAGUUUCCC